This 433-nucleotide ribosomal RNA is filed under the name uncultured bacterium. Its description in RNAcentral is "partial 16S ribosomal RNA". It matches the Rfam family "Bacterial small subunit ribosomal RNA", at positions 29 to 507 of the family's 1533-position model. The record is from RNAcentral.
AACGAACGCUGGCGGCAUGCCUAACACAUGCAAGUCGAACGAGACCUUCGGGUCUAGUGGCGCACGGGUGCGUAACGCGUGGGAACCUGCCCUUAGGUUCGGAAUAACUCCCCGAAAGGGGUGCUAAUACCGGAUAAUGUCUUCGGACCAAAGAUUUAUCGCCUUUGGAUGGGCCCGCGUUGGAUUAGCUAGUUGGUAGGGUAAAAGCCUACCAAGGCGACGAUCCAUAGCUGGUCUGAGAGGGUGAUCAGCCACACUGGGACUGAGACACGGCCCAGACUCCUACGGGAGGCAGCAGUGGGGAAUAUUGGACAAUGGGCGAAAGCCUGAUCCAGCAAUGCCGCGUGAGUGAUGAAGGCCUUAGGGUUGUAAAGCUCUUUUACCCGGGAUGAUAAUGACAGUACCGGGAGAAUAAGCGCCGGCUAACUCCGUG